This 2510-nucleotide ribosomal RNA is filed under the name Capsicum annuum. RNAcentral describes it as "bacterial LSU rRNA". It matches the Rfam family "Eukaryotic large subunit ribosomal RNA", at positions 1 to 2560 of the family's 3401-position model. Lineage: Eukaryota; Viridiplantae; Streptophyta; Magnoliopsida; Solanales; Solanaceae. The record is from RNAcentral.
CCGACCCUAGGUCAGGAAGGAUUAACCGUUGAGUUUAAGCAUAUCAAUAAGAGGAGGAAAAGAAACAUACAAGGAUUUUCUUAGUAACAGCGAGCAAACCGGGAACAACCUAGCCUUAGAAUCGGGUGGCUUCGUUAUCUAAAUUAUAGUCAUAAGAAUCAUCCUUAGCGGCGGACCAGGCCUAAGUCCCCUAGAAGGGGGCGCUAGAGAGGGUGACAUCCCUGUUGUGCCCAAGCCUGUCACAACACGAGACGCUGUCUACGAGUCAGGUUGUUCAGAAAUGCAGCCCAAAUUGGGUGGUGAAUUCCAUCUAAGACUAAAUACGGGAGAGAGAUCAAUAUCGAAUAAGUUCUGCGAGGGAAAGAUGAAAAGGACUUUGAAAAGAGAGUUAAAAAGUGCUUGAAAUUAUCGGGAGAAAAGAGGAUGGUUGCUGGUGAUGCACCUCGAUCAAAUAUGGAAUGAAGACGAGCUAGUCUGUCGAUCUACUUGAGGCGUGGAUCAGCAUGGAUUGGUGGGCAGACCAGGCUCUCGAUACGCUCGUGGAAUAUCGCCUCCUCGAUUGUGGCAGGAAGAGCGUGCCUUUGGAGUGAUUCGGUAUCUAUGUGCUCUGGACGCGGGCCUGUGGGCUCCCUAUUUGACCCUUCUUGAAACACAAAUCAAGGAGUCUAACAUAUGUGCGAGUCAAUGAGUGAGUAAACCCAUAAGGUGUAAGAAAGCUAAUUGGUGGGAUCCCCCUUGAGGGGUGCACCGCCGACCGAUCUUGAUCUUUUGAGAAGGGUUCGAGUGUGAUCAUACCUAUUGAGACACGAAAUAUAGUGAUCUAUGCCUGAGCAGGGCGAAGCCAUAGAAACUCUGGUGGAGACCCGCAAUGAUACUGAUGUGUAAAUCGUUCAUCUAACUUGGGUGUAGGGGAUAAAUACCAAUCAAACCAUCUAGUAUUAGGUUUCCUCCAAGGUUUCCCUCAGGAUAGUUGGAGCUUCUGUACAAGUUCUAUCUGGUAAAGCCAAUGAUUAGGGGCCUCGGGGGUGCAACGCCCUCAACCUAUUCUCAAACUUUUAAUAGGUAAGAUGGCACGACUGCUUUGUUGAGCCACACCACAGAAUCAAGAGCUCCAAGUAGGCCAUUUUUAGUAAGCAGAACUGACUAUACGAGAUGAACUGGAAUUCGGGUUACAGUGCCAAACUGUUCACUAACCUAGAUCUCACAAAGGGUGUUGGUCGAUUAAGACAGCUGGAAAUGUGUAACAACUUACCUACCAAAUCAACUAGCCCAAAAAAUGGAUGGCACUUAAGCGCACGACCUACACCUGGCCGUCAGGGCAAGUGCAAGGCCCCAAUGAGUAGGAGGAAGCGGUGGUCUCUACAAAACCUUGGGCGUGAGCCUCUGUGGAGCUGUUGUCGGUGCAGAUCUUAGUGGUAGUAGCAAAUAUUUAAAUUAGAACUUUGAAGGCCUAAUAAAAGAAAGAUUCCAUGUGAACGACACUUGCACAUGGGUUAGUCGAUCCUAAAGGUCGGGGGUUCCCCGAUAGAUAAUGCAUUUCUCGCGUACUUCAAAAGAGAAUCGGGUUAAAAUUCCUUAAUUAGGAUAUGGCGGUCAACGACAAUGUUAGAAAGUUUUGAGAUAUCGGCAGGAGCCUCAGAAAGAGUUACCUUUUCUGCUUAAUAGCCUGGCCAUCCUAUAAUUGGCUCAGUCGGAGGUAGGGUCCAGCAGUUGGAAGAGCACUGCACGUUGCGUGGUGUCUGAUGCACUCCCAGUGGCACUUGAAAACUAGAGGAUCGAAUGCCGUCCAUGCCUGGUUGUACUCAUAACCGCAUCAGGUCUCCAUUAUGAACAUCCUCUAAUCGAUGGAACAAUGUAGACAAGUGAAGUUGGUAAAAUGGAUCUGUAACUUCGGAAAAAGGAUUGGCUUUGAAGUCCGGGAAUGGGGGUCCCAGCCUCUAACUCAUUGGUUGUCUAUGGACUGCUCGAGAUGCUCUCAUGGCGAGAGCAGGUCACCACAGCCAGUCGGGGGAUGGACUGAGAACAGUUCCUUUGGGGGCCUUCCCCGCGCAUCAAACAACCAACUCUUAACUGGUACGGUCAUAGGGAAUCUGACUGUUUAUUUAAAACAAAGCAUUGCGAUGGACCCAAUGGAUGUUCACACAAUAUGAUUUUAUCCCAAUGCUCUGAAUGUCAAACUGAAGAAAUUCAACCAAGCAUGGGUAAACAGAGUAACUAUGACUCUCUUAAGGUAUCCAAAUGCCUUGUCAUCUAAUUAGUGAUGCGCAUGAAUGGAUUAAUAAGAUUUCCACUGUCCCUAUCUAUUAUCCAUAAAAUCACCGUUAAAGGAGCUGACUUGGCAGAAAUCAACGGGGAAAGAAAACCCUGUUAAGCUUGACUCUAGUCCGACUUUGUGAAAUGACUUGAGAGGUGUAGUAUAAGUGGGAGUCGAAAGGCAAAAUUUAAAUACCACUAUUUUAAAGUUAUUUUACUUAUUUCGUGAAUCAGAAGUGGGGCAUUGCCCCUCUUUU